Molecule: long non-coding RNA, 1967 nt
Organism: Anopheles funestus (African malaria mosquito)
Lineage: Eukaryota; Metazoa; Arthropoda; Insecta; Diptera; Culicidae
Exons: 3
Source: RefSeq, a predicted model, not a curated record
GCCGUGCGAAAGAUGCUCAGGCACUUUAAAUUAAAAGGCGCGUGUAGAAAUUGAAACGCAAUGAAACAUUUAACAGUGCACUGUACAUGAACGUACUUCGCGACAUCUGUAAUAAUCCUAUUCGGUAUCAAGCAAGAGCCAAGAAUAUGUAUGAUUGAUAAUGUUCUGGUAUGGCUUUGCAUAUUAGAUGUCACGAGAGCCUACGAAAAAAGGAAUGUUUAUUGUAAUAACAAACCCAUACAUAAUUCAACAAAUAUCAUUGUAAAAUCGCCAAACUAAAGCUACGUAAAAACGGUCCGUGCGCGAGGAUCGCCAUUCUAUGUUGAAAAAUAAAAACACUCGUACAAAAAACACCAACCUAAAAAUCAUUAUUGCUCAGAUCAGUCCACAACAUGUUGAUGCAUCGCGCACGAAGCACCACCUGCAAUAGAACCAUAACAGAACAGCUGAUAGUAUUUCGUUCGAGGCACUGCACGUAGAACAAAACCUGGUCCGUAUCAAUCCUUUUGGCGCCAAAUUGUUGGUACCAUCGGUUCGCGGACGCUUGAAACACCACGGUAAAUUGCCUCCAAAUGUAAGUCUGGGAUCGAUUCCCGAUAUUUCCUACCAUUACUAUCUUUACAGAAAACACACAUGGGCGAGCUGGCAAUAUCACUCCAGUAUAUGACUAUCAUACUUACCCUUGCGCACAUCGCGCGAGGAUACCCUAACCUUGAAAUAAUAGUACGGUCUAAAUCCUAUACCACUAGUCAAAACGAAACAAACCGACAAGCCCUAGGCAGAACGAACGAACGAACGCGAUGCAAGACACACCAGCGCAGAACAGAACUCGCGAAUCGAACAAAUACUAGAAUUAGCAGGAGCAAGCAAGAGAAAAAAAAGACGGUCGAUCGCCACACAUAAAAAAAAUAAUGUGGCAACGGCUGUGACAAGCUUUUUUGCUUUAAAUUUGAAAUUGAGCUUUUUGCUAGACAUCCGCACGAUGACAGCAAAAAUCCUGCAGUCCUCCUGCUGUUUGGACGAGACUGACUGAUUGUCGGAACAAAUAGCGGAAAACGUUUCGGUAUACGAAAAAUAGGACGCAACUUUUGCCGAAACUCAUACAAAACGUCAGAUUGGGUUGCUUGGUGAAAAAUUGACAAGUCCAACGAAGCCGGGUAAGCAAAACCAAAACAGAAGCCAACAAAAAUAACUAACAUUUUGUAUCUUUUAAGGAAACAAAUUCUUCGGGUCAAAUGUUCAACAUGCCACCUAAAUCAUCCCUGUAUCGGAUGCGCCGAAGCUAUGUUGUCGAGGCAGUAAGAAGGAAGUUUCCGGAACUCUUUCGGUCCCGGCAUCAGCGAACAGGAGCUUUGAUGUGAUCUACUAGUGCAAUGCUUCGCAUGUUGGCCAUCGUAGCUUCGAAUCCCAUGAGAUUGAUGGAGGAUUUACCACCCAACUGAACCGAGAGCCUGAACGGUGAACUUUCAACAACGGAAGGAUUCAACAAAUAGAUUGUUUCGGGAAUGAAACAAUUCAGUUGCUCAAAGCAUUGUACAACGCGGAAGUUUGGUCCUGGUUGGUUCGGUUGGCUGAGGUAGGCGUUAUCCGGUGGCUGCCUGAGGUUGGCGUAAUCCUGCGACUGGCCGAGGUUGGCGUUAUCCGGUGGCUGGCUAAGGUUGGAGAUAUUCGAUGGCUGGCUGAGGUUGGUAAUUUGCAUCAACAGUUGUUACACUACUGCGGUUCGAUUAACCACCUUAUCGUUCAGCACGUCGUUCUCCAUCUUCAGCCGCGUUAUUAUUUUACGCACUUAUUUACAUCGAUCGAAUAAAAAAAUUCAUUUAUUUCUAAUUACGAUUUUAACAAUAUUUUUGAAAGGCCAGGCGAAAGAAACCAUUUAUUACCACUACAUGCAUACCUACCUACCGUAUCUCACCAAUACAUACAUACCUCUGGACUGUCAAAGCUCACCCACACAACCGCAAAAG